RNAcentral lists this ribosomal RNA (478 nucleotides) under uncultured anaerobic ammonium-oxidizing bacterium. RNAcentral describes it as "bacterial SSU rRNA". It matches the Rfam family "Bacterial small subunit ribosomal RNA", at positions 365 to 833 of the family's 1533-position model. The record is from RNAcentral.
UUCGCAAUGCCCGAAAGGGUGACGAAGCGACGCCGCGUGUGGGAAGAAGGCCUUCGGGUUGUAAACCACUGUCGGGAGUUAAGAAAUGUAAGGAUGUUAAUAGCGUCCUUACUUGACUAAGGCUCCAGAGGAAGCCACGGCUAACUCUGUGCCAGCAGCCGCGGUAAUACAGAGGCGGCAAGCGUUGUUCGGAAUUAUUGGGCGUAAAGAGCACGUAGGCGGCUGUGUAAGUCGGUUGUGAAAGCCUUCCGCUUAACGGAAGAACAGCGACCGAUACUGCAUAGCUAGAGUGCGGGAGGGGAGAGUGGAACUUCUGGUGGAGCGGUGAAAUGCGUAGAUAUCAGAAGGAACGCCGGCGGCGAAAGCGGCUCUCUGGACCGUAACUGACGCUGAGUGUGCGAAAGCUAGGGGAGCAAACGGGAUUAGAUACCCCGGUAGUCCUAGCCGUAAACGAUGGGCACUAAGUAGAGGGGUUUUA